RNAcentral lists this non-coding RNA (28 nucleotides) under Bombyx mori (domestic silkworm). Lineage: Eukaryota; Metazoa; Arthropoda; Insecta; Lepidoptera; Bombycidae. The record is from RNAcentral.
UGAUUUCUGUGACUGAUUUAAAAUGCUU